This 1441-nucleotide ribosomal RNA is filed under the name uncultured organism. Its description in RNAcentral is "16S ribosomal RNA". It matches the Rfam family "Bacterial small subunit ribosomal RNA". The record is from RNAcentral.
UGGCUCAGGAUGAACGCUAGCUACAGGCUUAACACAUGCAAGUCGAGGGGCAUCAGGAAGAAAGCUUGCUUUCUUUGCUGGCGACCGGCGCACGGGUGAGUAACACGUAUCCAACCUGCCCUUUACUCGGGGAUAGCCUUUCGAAAGAAAGAUUAAUACCCGAUAGCAUAAUGAUUCCGCAUGGUUUCAUUAUUAAAGGAUUCCGGUAAAGGAUGGGGAUGCGUUCCAUUAGGUUGUUGGUGAGGUAACGGCCCACCAAGCCUUCGAUGGGUAGGGGUUCUGAGAGGAAGGUCCCCCACAUUGGAACUGAGACACGGUCCAAACUCCUACGGGAGGCAGCAGUGAGGAAUAUUGGUCAAUGGGCGCUAGCCUGAACCAGCCAAGUAGCGUGAAGGAUGAAGGCUCUAUGGGUCGUAAACUUCUUUUAUAUAAGAAUAAAGUGCAGUAUGUAUACUGUUUUGUAUGUAUUAUAUGAAUAAGGAUCGGCUAACUCCGUGCCAGCAGCCGCGGUAAUACGGAGGAUCCAAGCGUUAUCCGGAUUUAUUGGGUUUAAAGGGAGCGUAGGUGGACUGGUAAGUCAGUUGUGAAAGUUUGCGGCUCAACCGUAAAAUUGCAGUUGAUACUGUCAGUCUUGAGUACAGUAGAGGUGGGCGGAAUUCGUGGUGUAGCGGUGAAAUGCUUAGAUAUCACGAAGAACUCCGAUUGCGAAGGCAGCUCACUGGACUGCAACUGACACUGAUGCUCGAAAGUGUGGGUAUCAAACAGGAUUAGAUACCCUGGUAGUCCACACAGUAAACGAUGAAUACUCGCUGUUUGCGAUAUACAGUAAGCGGCCAAGCGAAAGCAUUAAGUAUUCCACCUGGGGAGUACGCCGGCAACGGUGAAACUCAAAGGAAUUGACGGGGGCCCGCACAAGCGGAGGAACAUGUGGUUUAAUUCGAUGAUACGCGAGGAACCUUACCCGGGCUUAAAUUGCAGUGGAAUGAUGUGGAAACAUGUCAGUGAGCAAUCACCGCUGUGAAGGUGCUGCAUGGUUGUCGUCAGCUCGUGCCGUGAGGUGUCGGCUUAAGUGCCAUAACGAGCGCAACCCUUAUCUUUAGUUACUAACAGGUUAUGCUGAGGACUCUAGAGAGACUGCCGUCGUAAGAUGUGAGGAAGGUGGGGAUGACGUCAAAUCAGCACGGCCCUUACGUCCGGGGCUACACACGUGUUACAAUGGGGGGUACAGAAGGCAGCUAGCGGGUGACCGUAUGCUAAUCCCAAAAUCCUCUCUCAGUUCGGAUCGAAGUCUGCAACCCGACUUCGUGAAGCUGGAUUCGCUAGUAAUCGCGCAUCAGCCACGGCGCGGUGAAUACGUUCCCGGGCCUUGUACACACCGCCCGUCAAGCCAUGGGAGCCGGGGGUACCUGAAGUACGUAACCGCAAGGAUCGUCCUAGGGUA